This 524-nucleotide ribosomal RNA is filed under the name uncultured bacterium. Its description in RNAcentral is "partial 16S ribosomal RNA". It matches the Rfam family "Bacterial small subunit ribosomal RNA", at positions 28 to 523 of the family's 1533-position model. The record is from RNAcentral.
GACGAACGCUGGCGGCGUGCCUAAUACAUGCAAGUCGAGCGCAGGAAACUGACGGAACUCUUCGGAGGGAAGGCAGUGGAAUGAGCGGCGGACGGGUGAGUAACACGUAAGGAACCUGCCUCAAGGAUUGGGAUAACUCCGAGAAAUCGGAGCUAAUACCGGAUAGUUCAUCGAACAGCAUGGUCCGUUGAUGAAAGGCGCACCGGCGUCACCUUGAGAUGGCCUUGCGGUGCAUUAGCUAGUUGGUGGGGUAACGGCCCACCAAGGCGACGAUGCAUAGCCGACCUGAGAGGGUGAUCGGCCACACUGGGACUGAGACACGGCCCAGACUCCUACGGGAGGCAGCAGUAGGGAAUCUUCCACAAUGGACGAAAGUCUGAUGGAGCAACGCCGCGUGAGUGAUGAAGGUUUUCGGAUCGUAAAACUCUGUUGUAAGGGAAGAACACGUACGAGAGGGAAUGCUCGUACCUUGACGGUACCUUACGAGAAAGCCACGGCUAACUACGUGCCAGCCGCCGCGGUAA